Molecule: ribosomal RNA, 237 nt
Filed under: uncultured bacterium
Lineage: Bacteria
Description: partial 16S ribosomal RNA
Rfam family: Bacterial small subunit ribosomal RNA
Source: RNAcentral
CGAACGGGUGAGUAACGCGUGAGGAACCUGCCUCAAAGAGGGGGACAACAGUUGGAAACGACUGCUAAUACCGCAUAAGCCCACGGGUCGGCAUCGACCAGAGGGAAAAGGAGCAAUCCGCUUUGAGAUGGCCUCGCGUCCGAUUAGCUAGUUGGUGAGGUAACGGCCCACCAAGGCGACGAUCGGUAGCCGGACUGAGAGGUUGAACGGCCACAUUGGGACUGAGACACGGCCCAG